UGGGCUCUCAAGCUAACGCAUUAAGUAGACCGGCCUGGGGAGUACGGCCGCAAGGUUAAAACUCAAAUGAAUUGACGGGGGCCCGCACAAGCGGUGGAGCAUGUGGUUUAAUUCGAUGCAACGCGAAGAACCUUACCUACUCUUGACAUCCAGAGAAUUUACCAGAGAUGGUUUAGUGCCUUCGGGAACUCUGAGACAGGUGCUGCAUGGCUGUCGUCAGCUCGUGUUGUGAAAUGUUGGGUUAAGUCCCGCAACGAGCGCAACCCUUAUCCUUAUUUGCCAGCACUUCGGGUGGGAACUUUAGGGAGACUGCCGGUGAUAAACCGGAGGAAGGUGGGGACGACGUCAAGUCAUCAUGGCCCUUACGAGUAGGGCUACACACGUGCUACAAUGGCGUAUACAGAGGGUUGCGAGACCGCGAGGUGGAGCUAAUCUCAUAAAGUACGUCGUAGUCCGGAUUGGAGUCUGCAACUCGACUCCAUGAAGUCGGAAUCGCUAGUAAUCGUAGAUCAGAAUGCUACGGUGAAUACGUUCCCGGGCCUUGUACACACCGCCCGUCACACCAUGGGAGUGGGCUGCAAAAGAAGUGGGUAGCAUAACCUUCGGGAGUGCGCUCACCACUAUAGAGUUUAAGCUGUCC
This 640-nucleotide ribosomal RNA is filed under the name bacterium b2cb17. RNAcentral's name for it is "bacterial SSU rRNA". It matches the Rfam family "Bacterial small subunit ribosomal RNA", at positions 840 to 1476 of the family's 1533-position model. The record is from RNAcentral.